This 494-nucleotide ribosomal RNA is filed under the name uncultured soil bacterium. Its description in RNAcentral is "bacterial SSU rRNA". It matches the Rfam family "Bacterial small subunit ribosomal RNA", at positions 26 to 518 of the family's 1533-position model. The record is from RNAcentral.
AGAUUGAACGCUGGCGGCAUGCUUUACACAUGCAAGUCGAACGGCAGCACGGGGGCAACCCUGGUGGCGAGUGGCGAACGGGUGAGUAAUAUAUCGGAACGUACCCGGAAAUGGGGGAUAACGUAGCGAAAGUUACGCUAAUACCGCAUAUGCCCUGAGGGGGAAAGCGGGGGAUUCGUAAGAACCUCGCGUUUUCGGAGCGGCCGAUAUCGGAUUAGCUAGUAGGUGAGGUAAAGGCUCACCUAGGCGACGAUCCGUAGCUGGUCUGAGAGGACGACCAGCCACACUGGAACUGAGACACGGUCCAGACUCCUACGGGAGGCAGCAGUGGGAAUUUGGACAAUGGGCGCAAGCCUGAUCCAGCCAUGCCGCGUGAGUGAAGAAGGCCUGGGUUGUAAAGCUCUUCAGCCGAAAGAAACGCAACGGUUAAUACCCUGUGUAGAUGACGUACCGGAAGAAGAAGCAACCGGCUAACUACGUAGCCAGCAGCCGAC